This is a long non-coding RNA of Cygnus atratus (black swan), 1291 nucleotides long. RefSeq lists it as uncharacterized. NCBI's taxonomy places the organism in Eukaryota, Metazoa, Chordata, Aves, Anseriformes, Anatidae. The transcript has 3 exons. The record is from RefSeq and is a predicted model, not a curated record.
AAAAAAAGGCAACCAGAAAAAAAAAAUAAGCCGAGCCCCCAUGCAACAUCCACAGCUCCUCUCCGACCACCACCGGCACAAAAAUAGAGGUUUGGGGACCCUCCGGGAGCGCGGUGAGCCCCAGGCAGCCCGGUGUUGGUGAACUUCGGGGUGCACACAGCAGGAAGGGGGUACCCAGAGCAGGUGGACAAACAUCCUGCAGCAUGUCCAUGUGGAGCUGAAGGUGCUUUGGGGACAGAGGAUGUGGAAUUUCCACCUCUGUUUUGGUGUAGAAGACGUCUGAAUCCCCUACAUUUGCAGGUAGCACCGUGCCCAGGUAAUAGUGGUGGUUUUAAUCCAUGUGCAGGUGUGUGUGUGAAGGUAUUGUCAGGCUGCAAGGUGCUGCUGGUCUUCCCUCAAGAAGUCUGUUCCAGUUGACUGUUUUUGCUGAUGUGCAGAAGUAACCUCUUCAUUCACUCCUUGUCACUUCCCGGGCCUUGCUGCCCGUUUUUCUUCUUUCCAGAGGACACCUAAAGACUCCGGCUCUGGUAUGGAAGGGAUGAAGUCCUUGCCUUUCGAAAGUGAGCAGGAUGUUCCUGGGGGCUCUGGGGGCCGUGCUGCAUUGGCUCCAUGCUGCUGGUGGAUGUGGCAUGCGCUGGGCUUGGGCACAUUGCUGGUGGGUGCGUGACACGCGGGCACUUCGCUCACUGGUGGUGGGCGUGUGGUGGGGUCCCACGCACCAAACCCCUCCCCAUGGGGCUCCAUUUACCACGCCCUCUCCAGCUCACAUUGGGAAACUGGUGGCGCUGGGAGUCGUUAAUUCUGCGUGCUAACAACCUCAUAAAUCCAUGUAACAGAGGCUGGGCUGGUUCCGUCCCAGGCAGACGUAGUUACCAGCCCACCAGCCCCACUGGGAGCGGAGGUGAACCCAACUCAUCCCAUCUGCCUCCAAGCUGACGUCCCAAAAACUUUUAGAGAAAUAAUUGCGAUGAAAACAUCUCAUCCCGUUUUAGAGAGAUGUUGAUGGGCACAAAGCAUCACCAGGAGCUGGGGAGGCGGCUCCUGACCACACGCAUUCAGGAGCCCUUCAUCAUUUGGGGGUUAGACUCGAUGAUCUCUCAAGGUCCCUUCCAACCCCUACAGUUCUGUGAUUCUGUGAUUUCCAGCCCUGGCUGCCUCUCCCCAUGCGCUCACUGAAUUGCACAGGACCCAGUUCUCUGUCAUGCAGCAGCGCACAGAGCUCGGUUCCAGCAAACCAAGAACAACUGGGGGCAGUCCGGGUUUUCCAUAAGUUUCCAGUGAUGGUGCAAUU